AUUGAACGCUGGCGGCAUGCUUUACACAUGCAAGUCGAACGGUAACAGGUCUUCGGAUGCUGACGAGUGGCGAACGGGUGAGUAAUGUAUCGGAACGUGCCCAGUAGUGGGGGAUAACUACUCGAAAGAGUGGCUAAUACCGCAUGAGAACUGAGGUUGAAAGCGGGGGACCUUCGGGCCUCGCGCUACUGGAGCGGCCGAUAUCAGAUUAGGUAGUUGGUGGGGUAAAGGCCUACCAAGCCGACGAUCUGUAGCUGGUCUGAGAGGACGACCAGCCACACUGGGACUGAGACACGGCCCAGACUCCUACGGGAGGCAGCAGCGGGGAAUUUUGGACAAUGGACGCAAGUCUGAUCCAGCAAUGCCGCGUGCAGGACGAAGGCCUUCGGGUUGUAAACUGCUUUUGUACAGAACGAAAGGGACGUCUGGUUAAUACCUGGGGCAGAUGACGGUACUGUAAGAAUAAGACACCGGCUAACUACGUGCCAGCAGCCGCGGUAA
RNAcentral lists this ribosomal RNA (501 nucleotides) under uncultured bacterium. RNAcentral's name for it is "bacterial SSU rRNA". It matches the Rfam family "Bacterial small subunit ribosomal RNA", at positions 30 to 523 of the family's 1533-position model. The record is from RNAcentral.